RNAcentral lists this long non-coding RNA (909 nucleotides) under Naja naja (Indian cobra). RNAcentral's name for it is "lncRNA (ENSNNAG00000017066.1)". Lineage: Eukaryota; Metazoa; Chordata; Lepidosauria; Squamata; Elapidae. The record is from RNAcentral.
GUUGUUCCUACUUUUGAGCAGUUUUGGGAUGAGAUGAGUGAAGGGUUGAAGAAAUAUGGACUAGUACCUUCUCAGAUUCCAGAGGAACGCUGGUGCAAGCUAGAACCAUUCCUAAAUGUGAUAGCUGGAAAAGUAGCUCUUAGGCAUAUAAGGAACAGGGAAGCACAAGAUGCAUCAGCAGCCACAACAAAACCUACAAGGGAAGACAAAGACUCUUUUUGGCAGUCUCUAGAAGAGGCUGCAGAAGGCUGGCCCACUGUGGAGAUGCUCCAUUUCAUUAAACACCUCCAGGUAUAUGGCACACCUGUGCUGGAGAGUGGUUUGCAUUUUCUACUGGAAGUGCAGAAAUUUAAAAAUGCUCAUCACAACUGGCCUGACAUGACUCUUCUGAAGAAAAAGGUUCUUGUGAUACGUGACUGUUUCCUUGCUUCUCAGGUUGAGCCUCAGCUACAGGUGGCUGUGGAUAAUAAGAGGCUGAGUAGAGCUAUCCGGGCAGCCGAGCAGGCCCUCCAGAAGGAGAUUCCACCUCCAAGUUUAUUUGACAGCCUGAAGGAUUCAGUCUCCAGCAUGCUGAUGCCAUAUUGGGCUGCCUUUCAAAAACACUGGCUCAAGAGAUCUGUGGCCAGUGCACAAAGAGUUCCAGUGCUGAGAAAUCAGCUGCUGCUGCAGAAGAGACAGGCCAGGCUCAAUGAAUUGCCAUGCUCUCUUCGGCUGCCACCACUCCCACAGCCCAAGGAUGGCAAUGGAAGCAAGUUGCAGGAUGGUUUUAUUUACUCUUUCUCCAUCAGUGAAGGACUUAUGGUACAGAAUCCAAACAAAGACAUCCUGAACAUUAGCUCUGCUGUUUUCAGAAGCAUGAGCAAACCCAAUGGGUUUGAGUUUCCUUCACUUCCAGUGUACCAGUGCUGA